This is a long non-coding RNA of Cyprinus carpio carpio, 1265 nucleotides long. Lineage: Eukaryota; Metazoa; Chordata; Actinopteri; Cypriniformes; Cyprinidae. The record is from Ensembl.
UCCAGCUCUGGUAAUGCACAGUCCUUCAAUACUCCUUCUGGCCGCUCUCCUGCCUCGGCCAAGGCCUGCCCCCACGGCCUAGGCCCACUACUUCACCACCAAUAUAUUUGGUCUUUUUAACGUUGAACCACAGAUAGUGAGAUUUUUAAACUUAUGGACGAGUAUUGUUUUCAAUAAUAAAUGUUGUUUUUAUAUUAAGGUUUUUAUAGUAUUUAUUAAUAUUUAUGGAUAAUACUUCUCCAUAUAAAUUAUUAGGGGUAGAAUGGGUAGGAUUAGGAUGGGUGGGGCUAAAAUGAUGUAAUUUAUUAGGGGUAGAAUGGGUAGGAUUAGGAUGGGGCUAAAAUGAUGUGUCUGAGUGGUGGAAAUGGUAGGAUUAGGAUGGGUGGGGCUAAAAUGAUGUAAUUUAUUAGGGGUAGAAUGGGUAGGGUUAGGAACGAAUGAGAUCCAGAAGCUGAAACAUAGUUCAACAUCGGUACAUGCACUGUCCUUCUUAUACUCCUAAUGGCCACCUGUUUUCACCGCUCGAGCAGAGCCCCACAGCCCAGGCCCACAACAACCCCCCGGACAAAGAGAAAUCCUUUUUAAAUUCAUUAUUUAUAAUACAAUAGAUGUAAUGGAUAGGGUUAGAAUAUAUAGGUUUCAAACUAUCAGGGGUAGAAUGAGUAGGUUUAGAUGUAGUGUGGUUAACUUGGUUAAGUUUAGGUGUAGUAUAGUUAGCUUUGUUAGGUUUAGGUGUAGUAUAGUUAACCUGGUUAAGUUUAGGUGUAGUGAAGUUAACUUGGUUAAGUUUAGGUGUAGUAUAGUUAACUUGGUUAAGUUUAGGUGUAGUAUAGUUAACUUGGUUAAGUUUAGAUGUAGUGUGGUUAACUUGGUUAAGUUUAGGUGUAGUAUAGUUAACUUGGUUAAGUUUAGGUGUAGUAUAGUUAGCUUCGUUAGGUUUAGAUGUAGUGUAAAAGAGAAAAUAUAGAAAGAAGAGGAAAUAUAAAAAAUAUAUAAAGAGAGAGCAAUUCAGAUUUAGUCAGGCCUUGCCUCUCUCAGACCUCAUUGAGGCCCCUUGGGUAUAAUGUACCCAAUUUUUUGAUCCAACUUCUCUCUGCCUUGAGUCUAUCUUUUUAGAUCCCAGAGAGAGUUGGCUUGGAGCACCGUGGCUCUGAGAGAGGGAAGGCCGUGGGACAUGAAGUGUCUUACAAUGAAUCUACGUUUUUCUAUUUUGUUUAUAAUGUUAUGAGUAUGCUGAUAAAUUCUCUUUCUAAGUUCAUUCUUCG